AGCUGGAGAUAGAGUAGAUGUUGUUCAAUUCUAUGGAAAGCACUGUCUCUGGAUUUUGAGCAAUGGAAGAACUGUAUGCGGUAGUGAUUCUGUUUGGAAGGCCUUGAUUUUUUAUGCCAAAAGUUGUGAAUGCUUCUUUAAUGCUGAUCAACACAAUGAUUUGGCAAAGCCAUGGUAGACGUAAAGAAAAUGUUGGACCAAUUUCAUGAGUUGCCCAAUGCCAACAACAUAAUUUUCAAAAACGCUAGAUGCAAGGUGCUUUUUAGUAUUAACUUUUUGAAGUUAUUCAAGAAUCUGAUGUGGCCUGUUUGGAGAACUUAGCACUCAGCACUAGAUCUUCUACUGAAGCAGUCAUCUGGCUAAAGACCCAAGAAGCGCGGUGUAGGGAGAAGUUGGUAUUAGCUCUUGACUACUCUUGAAGAAACUUAAGGUUAAAUCUCAUUGUUUGCACAAGAGACUAUUGCAAAGAAUAUGAGAUAAUGUUAAAGGUCUGAGAUGUAUUGCCUCUAAAGGAUAUCCCAAAGUUGGAAUAUCUCUUAGAUACACACAUAAAAUCAUUUUUGUUGAUC
Long non-coding RNA from Rosa chinensis, 569 nucleotides. RefSeq lists it as uncharacterized. The record is from RefSeq and is a predicted model, not a curated record. NCBI's taxonomy places the organism in Eukaryota, Viridiplantae, Streptophyta, Magnoliopsida, Rosales, Rosaceae. The transcript is spliced from 2 exons.